Molecule: ribosomal RNA, 1399 nt
Filed under: actinomycete LQ39
Lineage: Bacteria; Bacillati; Actinomycetota; Actinomycetes; Actinomycetales
Description: bacterial SSU rRNA
Rfam family: Bacterial small subunit ribosomal RNA
Source: RNAcentral
CCGCGAAGGAAAUUCGCACGGUGAAGCCCAGCUUGCUGGGUGGAUCAGUGGCGAACGGGUGAGUAACACGUGAGCAAUCUGCCCCUGACUCUGGGAUAAGCGCUGGAAACGGCGUCUAAUACUGGAUAUGAACCGUGGAGGCAUCUUCAACGGUUGGAAAGAUUUUUUGGUCAGGGAUGAGCUCGCGGCCUAUCAGCUUGUUGGUGAGGUAAUGGCUCACCAAGGCGUCGACGGGUAGCCGGCCUGAGAGGGUGACCGGCCACACUGGGACUGAGACACGGCCCAGACUCCUACGGGAGGCAGCAGUGGGGAAUAUUGCACAAUGGGCGCAAGCCUGAUGCAGCAACGCCGCGUGAGGGAUGACGGCCUUCGGGUUGUAAACCUCUUUUAGCAGGGAAGAAGCGAAAGUGACGGUACCUGCAGAAAAAGCGCCGGCUAACUACGUGCCAGCAGCCGCGGUAAUACGUAGGGCGCAAGCGUUAUCCGGAAUUAUUGGGCGUAAAGAGCUCGUAGGCGGUUUGUCGCGUCUGCUGUGAAAUCCCGAGGCUCAACCUCGGGUCUGCAGUGGGUACGGGCAGACUAGAGUGCGGUAGGGGAGAUUGGAAUUCCUGGUGUAGCGGUGGAAUGCGCAGAUAUCAGGAGGAACACCGAUGGCGAAGGCAGAUCUCUGGGCCGUAACUGACGCUGAGGAGCGAAAGGGUGGGGAGCAAACAGGCUUAGAUACCCUGGUAGUCCACCCCGUAAACGUUGGGAACUAGUUGUGGGGUCCAUUCCACGGAUUCCGUGACGCAGCUAACGCAUUAAGUUCCCCGCCUGGGGAGUACGGCCGCAAGGCUAAAACUCAAAGGAAUUGACGGGGACCCGCACAAGCGGCGGAGCAUGCGGAUUAAUUCGAUGCAACGCGAAGAACCUUACCAAGGCUUGACAUAUACGAGAACGCUGCAGAAAUGUAGAACUCUUUGGACACUCGUAAACAGGUGGUGCAUGGUUGUCGUCAGCUCGUGUCGUGAGAUGUUGGGUUAAGUCCCGCAACGAGCGCAACCCUCGUUCUAUGUUGCCAGCACGUAAUGGUGGGAACUCAUGGGAUACUGCCGGGGUCAACUCGGAGGAAGGUGGGGAUGACGUCAAAUCAUCAUGCCCCUUAUGUCUUGGGCUUCACGCAUGCUACAAUGGCCGGUACAAAGGGCUGCAAUACCGUAAGGUGGAGCGAAUCCCAAAAAGCCGGUCCCAGUUCGGAUUGAGGUCUGCAACUCGACCUCAUGAAGUCGGAGUCGCUAGUAAUCGCAGAUCAGCAACGCUGCGGUGAAUACGUUCCCGGGUCUUGUACACACCGCCCGUCAAGUCAUGAAAGUCGGUAACACCUGAAGCCGGUGGCCCAACCCUUGUGGAGGGAGCCGUC